This 120-nucleotide transfer RNA is filed under the name Candidatus Woesearchaeota archaeon. RNAcentral describes it as "tRNA-Glu". It matches the Rfam family "tRNA". Rfam says of the family: Transfer RNA (tRNA) molecules are approximately 80 nucleotides in length. Their secondary structure includes four short double-helical elements and three loops (D, anti-codon, and T loops). Further hydrogen bonds mediate the characteristic L-shaped molecular structure. tRNAs have two regions of fundamental functional importance: the anti-codon, which is responsible for specific mRNA codon recognition, and the 3' end, to which the tRNAs corresponding amino acid is attached (by aminoacyl-tRNA synthetases). tRNAs cope with the degeneracy of the genetic code in two manners: having more than one tRNA (with a specific anti-codon) for a particular amino acid; and 'wobble' base-pairing, i.e. permitting non-standard base-pairing at the 3rd anti-codon position. Lineage: Archaea; Nanobdellati; Candidatus Woesearchaeota. The record is from RNAcentral.
GCUCCGGUGGUGUAGUCCGGCCAAUCAUCUCGGAUUUUCGAGUCUUGUUCGAAGAUCUAUUUUGAUGUUACGGACAUUCAAAAAAAUCCGAUGACCCGGGUUCAAAUCCCGGCCGGAGCA